RNAcentral lists this long non-coding RNA (1179 nucleotides) under Solanum tuberosum (potato). Its description in RNAcentral is "long non-coding RNA (STUB_LNC000312)". The record is from RNAcentral. Lineage: Eukaryota; Viridiplantae; Streptophyta; Magnoliopsida; Solanales; Solanaceae.
UAUUCCCAAAUGUGUCACUACUUAAAAAGUUCUUAAGCUUUGCAAGCUCCUGUCUCACCACACCAGCCCUCUACAAUGUCCAACACAAACGAAUCAGAUCGAUACAUAACCAUCACAACGGUAAAAAGAUUAUGCAAUCACACCUUGAUCUUUGCCAACAUGAGCUUAAACCUGUCAAAAUCGUUGAGUGAGACCAUCCUCUUCUGCAUGAUCAACUUCCUUUCUCAGGAACUGGACUCUCCUACUUGGUCUUCACAUCUGUGAGGACAUAAAGCAAAUGAGAGUUAGUCAAGUUCUUACGUAACCCUGUCGUUAGCCAAAUGACUCAAAUUUACAAUUUUUUGGCUGAUGAAAACCAUUUUUCCUAAUCAAAAAUUCAAAUUUGAAUACUGCAAUUCAGCCAACAUACACAUAUCUUGAUCUAGCUCGACCACUGUUUCCAGUGAUAUGUAUUUUCUGAGGGGACUAAUUAACAUAUAGUCUAGUCACUUUAGUAUUUAGUAUUGUAACUCUAGUGUCACGACCCGAUUUCUCAAGUCAUGAUGACACCUACUAUAAUCCACCAGUAGGUAAGCCAACCCGUAACCCGGAACAACAAGUAAUGGGUCUGAGGGUAGAAACUAAACAAGCGUAGGCAAAUAACAAUAUAAACAGGCGGAAGCAAACCAAAAACAUAUAUACAAAUAAAGAUCCCUCCCAGAACCUGGAAGUCACUAGUACAGAGCUACUAACAAAAUGAGUACAAGUCCCAAAAGUGGACAACAGAGACUGGACUGUCUCAAAAGGUAAAAGACAAGUCUAUAUAUACAGAUGGAGACUGAAAUAGUACAAAACGUCGUGUGCUCACUCCCGUCUCCGGAUCAGUCUGCUCCAAGCUCGAUCAACGCUGGCUACUAGUGCCCGGACCUGCAUCACGAAAUAGAUGCAGAGCGUAGCAUGAGUACCAAAACAACCGGUACCCAGUAGGCAGCAUAGGCCGACUGAACUUGAAAAGUAAAGGCAAUAUGAAAAGAAGGAAUAACACAAACCGAAGUCAAGAACUAAAAUCUAACUAACAAUGGAAUGCACACGAGUGUACAAAGAACUAACUAAAGUAAUCUACAAGCUAACUACACUUAACUGGACCCCCAUAAGCGCAGAAGGUACACUCGUGCGCAAGUUAAAUAAAAACCCGAACGG